UGAAAACGUUUUACAAUAUACUUGUUCUUAAUUUCCUUGAAAUGAAAAAGAAUGGCCAAGCAAUUGGAAGGAGAUUAUUCUUUUUCAUGUCAACGAAAAAUAUUUUAUAGGAGGAAGAACAAGA
This 124-nucleotide small RNA is filed under the name uncultured Streptococcus sp. RNAcentral describes it as "Streptococcus sRNA SSRC34". It matches the Rfam family "Streptococcus sRNA SSRC34". From Rfam's summary of the family: It is based on computationally predicted coordinates (RNAz). The record is from RNAcentral. Lineage: Bacteria; Bacillati; Bacillota; Bacilli; Lactobacillales; Streptococcaceae.